RNAcentral lists this ribosomal RNA (510 nucleotides) under uncultured bacterium. RNAcentral's name for it is "partial 16S ribosomal RNA". It matches the Rfam family "Bacterial small subunit ribosomal RNA", at positions 28 to 507 of the family's 1533-position model. The record is from RNAcentral.
GACGAACGCUGGCGGCGUGCUUAACACAUGCAAGUCGAACGAAGAGCGAUGGACGCUUGCUUCUAUCAAUCUUAGUGGCGCACGGGUGAGUAACGCGUAAUCAACCUGCCCUUCAGAGGGGGACAACAGUUGGAAACGACUGCUAAUACCGCAUACGAUCUAAUCUCGGCAUCGAGGAUAGAUGAAAGGUGGCCUCUACAUGUAAGCUAUCACUGAAGUUGGGGAUUGCGUCUGAUUAGCUAGUUGGAGGGGUAACGGCCCAACAAGGGGAUGAUCAGUAGCCGGUCUGAGAGGAUGAACGGCCACAUUGGGACUGAGACACGGCCCAGACUCCUACGGGAGGCAGCGGUGGGGAAUCUUCCGCAAUGGACGAAAGUCUGACGGAGCAACGCCGCGUGAGUGAUGACGGCCUUCGGGUUGUAAAGCUCGGUUAAUCGGGAAGAAAGGCCUUCUUGCGAAUAGUGAGAAGGAUUGACGGUACCGGAAUAGAAAGCCACGGCUAACUACGUG